Molecule: non-coding RNA, 1415 nt
Organism: Sturnus vulgaris (Common starling)
Lineage: Eukaryota; Metazoa; Chordata; Aves; Passeriformes; Sturnidae
Source: RefSeq, a predicted model, not a curated record
CCGGGGGCGGAGACACUGCGCCUACAAAGACACCGACGGCUGCUACAUUUGCCUUCGGUGACCUUACGAUCUCUCCGCGUAAAACGCUAUUUUACAUCAAAGCAGUCCUUUGCUUGAUGGUUUGGUAUAUGACAAAUAGCCGACCAGCCUGGCAAGAGCACUUUGACAACUGGAAGCCUUCAGCGCAUGCUCUCCCCAAGGAAUCAUGGGGUUUGAAGUCUUACCUACAGACAGCAUUGCACUGCUGCUUCCUGAAAGGAAGAGCGCUCCAAAGGAGAAAAAACAUACGUGCACACUCCCUCUUCCCAGGGAAAACUGCUGCAAUCUGAAUCAUCAGCUCUGAGGAAAUAUCUGUCAGACUGAGCUGAACGUGACUAACUAAAUAUGAGCUUUUAAACAGUUUGAUUUAGAAGCCCAGAUUAAAUAGCCACCUAUUCAGAACAACUGCUAGACAAAGGAAUAGUUCCCGUAUUUCCCUUACAAACUCCUAGCAUAAGAAAUUAAUUAUAAGCUCAUACCAGCUAUAAAAUUUAUAGCUGUUACAAAGAAAACUGUGUCAUGUUACUUAGCUGAAGAAUAUAUUAAUCACGUGUCAUAAUACAUUAAUCACGUGUCAUAAUUUCUAAAUAUAUUCUGAAACUCAAACACAAAUAGGUCAAGUAUGAACAUUUAAAAACAAAAUCAGUACAUAGGUGAAAAGUUGUACUAUUGGAAUAGUUUCCAGUUUUCAAGUUACUACUUUUUCAUUACUGAGUUGUUACUAUACUGAAAAUUCUACCAAAAAAUAAUAAGCUGCUCUGAAGAAAAUCAAGGUGUGAAUGUUACUAUUUAACAUUCCAUCUAUCCUGUACAUGGUGGUGCCACACUUGACCUCCCUCCCUUUCACUACACACCAUCUACAUAUCUCCAGCCUCCACAUCAACACCCAGCCUCUCACAAGAUAUUAAUACUGUGAUCCUUAAUGUAGAUCAGGUAAAAUUUUCAGAAUUUCAUUCACUGGCACUUUGUGUUCUGUUUUGCACUAGUCCAUGAAUUAUUCUGCAUGUUUAUUCUGGGUAAUUCAUAAUACUAAUUAUUCAGACCAAAUAGUAAUGCACAUAAGGAAAUACAUAGUUGAAAUCUGAAGUGUGAAAAAAACAGUGUUUAAUAAAAGUGCAGGCUGAUUUUCCAAGGAUGAAAUAUGCAUAAUUCUGUGUGUCAAAGAGAGAUGACUAAAGCUGAAAAAAGUAAAUAAGGGCAGUUGAAAGUGAGUUGUCCUAACACUUAUGUCUCUGCUUUCUGCACUCUGUUUAUGUUGGGCUGUAUGGUCUGCCUGCCCUAAAUCAACACUGUAAUUAAGAGUUUCUCAACACUUGCUCUAACCUGUUUGUGCUACUCUGAAUCAUUAAAGGCAGCAAAACUGUUUUCUUACAGCA